Molecule: ribosomal RNA, 497 nt
Filed under: uncultured bacterium
Lineage: Bacteria
Description: partial 16S ribosomal RNA
Rfam family: Bacterial small subunit ribosomal RNA
Source: RNAcentral
GAUGAACGCUGGCGGCGUGCCUAAUACAUGCAAGUCGAGCGAACAGACGAGGAGCUUGCUCCUCUGACGUUAGCGGCGGACGGGUGAGUAACACGUGGAUAACCUACCUAUAAGACUGGGAUAACUUCGGGAAACCGGAGCUAAUACCGGAUAAUAUAUUGAACCGCAUGGUUCAAUAGUGAAAGACGGUUUUGCUGUCACUUAUAGAUGGAUCCGCGCCGCAUUAGCUAGUUGGUAAGGUAACGGCUUACCAAGGCGACGAUGCGUAGCCGACCUGAGAGGGUGAUCGGCCACACUGGAACUGAGACACGUUCCAGACUCCUACGGGAGGCAGCAGUAGGGAAUCUUCCGCAAUGGGCGAAAGCCUGACGGAGCAACGCCGCGUGAGUGAUGAAGGUCUUCGGAUCGUAAAACUCUGUUAUUAGGGAAGAACAAAUGUGUAAGUAACUAUGCACGUCUUGACGGUACCUAAUCAGAAAGCCACGGCUAACUACGUG